Molecule: long non-coding RNA, 1378 nt
Organism: Callorhinchus milii (elephant shark)
Lineage: Eukaryota; Metazoa; Chordata; Chondrichthyes; Chimaeriformes; Callorhinchidae
Exons: 4
Source: RefSeq, a predicted model, not a curated record
GGAGCGGCACAUCCGGGCCCCGGGCUCGGGGAGGACAACAUGGCGGAGGCUUCUGUCGGUAGGCAGAACCCACGUGUGGUGCUGUAUCGAACGCAGAAUUUAUGUUCCUUAGAAAACGGGCUUCAGUCUGAAGGAGGAUGGUGAAAAUCGGCGUGGAUUACAAGGAAGAAAGUGACCGAAGGUUUCAAGAAUGGCGGAACGUGAUAGGAAAUUAAUUGCUAACGUCAAAGAAAAGCAAAGCCAAAAAAACUUGAUUGAAUCAUACUACACAGGCCCUGAGGGGGAAGGUUCAAGGAACAAUGGUCCAAAUGAUUGGGAAACCUUUCAAGCUACUUCACGAAUGAGAAAUACCUCCGCCAAGUCUUGCCAGUCUGAUUCAGCCAUUCAACUCAUCUUCACCUAACUCUGCCGCAACCGUACCCUAACCAUGGAGGUCAUGUUGAGACCAGGUUGUUCUCACAGUGGAAGGAGGACCCUCCACCUGUCACUGUGCCCUCCACACAGCCAUAGCUGGGACAUACCCUACUAACUGGAAGGUCUGUACCAACAGAUCAGGAAACGCAUCGACCGAGCAGUUAACCGUCAUUGACAUUCCCAAGACUAACCCAGAGCCUUUUGAGGGAUGCCAUUGACAGUGUCGUGAAAGUGUGCGGGAACUCCCAGGUGUAUAUUGACGUAGUUACAUUGCAGUGAGGAUAGGGAGAGUUAGCAGAGUAAGGUUGACAAACCGCUCACCCACCAUCCUUCCCUCCUGUGUGUUGUUAAUCAGAAGCUGGUCAAGUCUACCCAAAGCCGCCUCACACUGCUCCAACGUGGCCUAUUGAUGAUCUUAGGUCUUUCCCGCAGGUCGUUCAGUAAACCUCCCAUAAGUCGUAUCAUCGGGAUCAGAUAUUUAAUAUGACUCGUGCAAUGCCUGAGUUAUGUCAAACUUGCAUAGACUAUAAACUCUUGAAUGGGACGUGAACAGACAGUUGUACGACUUGGGCGGUCAUACGAUUUAUACAGAUCAGACUUAUGCGAGUUUUACUGUAUGUUGUGCGUAGGACAAAGUGGCAAUGAACUGUCCUUCGACCAUGCUUAACAGGAAUGUGCACGCAUAACAAGAUUAUUCCAUUCACUUCAAUGUAUUAUUGCGGCAGAUAUUGAUACAGGUCAGACCGAGCUUACGUUGCUAGGGCACUGCGGACGUUGCCAGAGCAAACGUGUAACGAUAAACACCUGAUAACUUGUCAACCCUGGCAUAACUGCUCACGACCGCUUGAGUAAUUACGCUGUCAAUAUCCCAUUUAUUUAUGCAUUAAUACAUACGCCUAACUCGACACUCCCAUCUAACUCAUCACUGAGCCCUUUCUGUUUGGAGUGACAAGUUAUCAGGAGU